AUUAAACGCUGGCGGCAUGCCUUACACAUGCAAGUCGAACGGUAACAGGUUAAGCUGACGAGUGGCGAACGGGUGAGUAAUAUAUCGGAACGUGCCCGGUCGUGGGGGAUAACGUAGCGAAAGCUACGCUAAUACCGCAUACGAUCUACGGAUGAAAGCGGGGGGAUCGCAAGACCUCGCGCGAUUGGAGCGGCCGAUAUCAGAUUAGGUUGUUGGUGAGGUAAAAGCUCACCAAGACUGCGAUCUGUAGCUGGUCUGAGAGGACGACCAGCCACACUGGAACUGAGACACGGUCCAGACUCCUACGGGAGGCAGCAGUGGGGAAUUUUGGACAAUGGACGCAAGUCUGAUCCAGCAAUGCCGCGUGCAGGACGAAGGCCUUCGGGUUGUAAACUGCUUUUGUACGGAAUGAAACGGUGAGCUCUAAUACAGUUUGCUAAUGACGGUACCGUAAGAAUAAGCACCGGCUAACUACGUGCCAGCCGCCGCCGUAA
Molecule: ribosomal RNA, 494 nt
Filed under: uncultured bacterium
Lineage: Bacteria
Description: partial 16S ribosomal RNA
Rfam family: Bacterial small subunit ribosomal RNA
Source: RNAcentral